This 827-nucleotide ribosomal RNA is filed under the name uncultured bacterium. RNAcentral's name for it is "bacterial SSU rRNA". It matches the Rfam family "Bacterial small subunit ribosomal RNA", at positions 69 to 876 of the family's 1533-position model. The record is from RNAcentral.
GAGGUGGAAGGGGGCAACUCCUUCCUCGAGUGGCGGACGGGUGAGUAACACGUGGGUAACCUGCCCGGAAGUGKGGAAUACCUCGGGGAAACUCGAGCUAAUWCCGCAUGACAUCUUCGGGACGAMAGUCCYGACGAUCAAAGCGGGGUCGCAAGAYCUCGCGCUACCGGAUGGGCCCGCGCCCGAUUAGCUAGUUGGUGAGGUAACGGCUCACCAAGGCUUCGAUCGGUAACCGGCCUGAGAGGGCGAUCGGUCACACCGGAACUGAGACACGGUCCGGACUCCUACGGGAGGCAGCAGUGGGGAAUCUUGCGCARUGGGCGAAAGCCUGACGCAGCAACGCCGCGUGGAGGAUGAAGGCCYUUGGGUUGUAAACUCCUGUCGGCUGGGAAGAAAUCRYRCGGUGCUCAUACCACCGUGCGUUGACUGUWCCAGCAGAGGAAGCCCCGGCUAACUCUGUGCCAGCAGCCGCGGUAAUACAGAGGGGGCUAGCGUUAUUCGGAAUUAUUGGGCGUAAAGGGCGCGUAGGCGGCCAUGCGUGUCUUCCGUGAAAUCCCUCGGCUUAACUGAGGACGUGCGGAAGAAACUGCAAGGCUCGAGUCCGGGAGAGGGGGGUGGAAUUCCCAGUGUAGCGGUGAAAUGCGUAGAUAUUGGGAGGAACACCGGUGGCGAAGGCGGCCCCUGGACCGGUACUGACGCUGAGGCGCGAAAGCGUGGGUAGCAAACGGGAUUAGAUACCCCGGUAGUCCACGCCGUAAACGAUGGCACUUGGUGUCGCGGGUAUCGACCCCUGCGUGCCGAAGCUAACGCAUNAGUGCCCCGCCUGG